CCCACCAAGCCUGCGAUCAGUAACUGGUGUGAGAGCACGACCAGUCACACGGGCACUGAGACACGGGCCCGACUCCUACGGGAGGCAGCAGUAAGGAAUAUUGGUCAAUGGACGAAAGUCUGAACCAGCCAUGCCGCGUGAAGGAUGAAGGCCCUCUGGGUUGUAAACUUCUUUUAUCUGGGACGAAAAAAGGGGAUUCUUCCUCACUUGACGGUACCAGAGGAAUAAGCACCGGCUAACUCCGUGCCAGCAGCCGCGGUAAUACGGAGGGUGCAAGCGUUAUCCGGAUUCACUGGGUUUAAAGGGAGCGUAGGUGGGUCUGUAAGUCAGUGGUGAAAUCUCCGGGCUUAACCCGGAAACUGCCAUUGAUACUAUAGGUCUUGAAUUAUCUGGAGGUAAGCGGAAUAUGUCAUGUAGCGGUGAAAUGCUUAGAUAUGACAUAGAACACCAAUUGCGAAGGCAGCUUGCUACGGAUAUAUUGACACUGAGGCUCGAAAGCGUGGGGAUCAAACAGGAUUAGAUACCCUGGUAGUCCACGCCCUAAACGAUGGAUACUCGACAUCAGCGAUACACUGUUGGUGUCUGAGCGAAAGCAUUAAGUAUCCCACC
This 609-nucleotide ribosomal RNA is filed under the name uncultured bacterium. RNAcentral describes it as "bacterial SSU rRNA". It matches the Rfam family "Bacterial small subunit ribosomal RNA", at positions 264 to 873 of the family's 1533-position model. The record is from RNAcentral.